AUUGAACGCUGGCGGCAGGCCUAACACAUGCAAGUCGAGCGGAUGAAGGGAGCUUGCUCCUGGAUUCAGCGGCGGACGGGUGAGUAAUGCCUAGGAAUCUGCCUGGUAGUGGGGGCUAACGUCCGGAAACGGGCGCUAAUACCGCAUACGUCCUGAGGGUGAAAGUGGGGGUUCUUCGGACCUCACGCUAUCUGAUGAGCCUAGGUCGGAUUAGCUAGUUGGUGGGGUAAAGGCCUACCAAGGCGACGAUCCGUAACUGGUCUGAGAGGAUGAUCAGUCACACUGGAACUGAGACACGGUCCAGACUCCUACGGGAGGCAGCAGUGGGGAAUAUUGGACAAUGGGCGAAAGCCUGAUCCAGCCAUGCCGCGUGUGUGAAGAAGGUCUUCGGAUUGUAAAGCACUUUAAGUUGGGAGGAAGGGCAGUAAGUUAAUACCUUGCUGUUUUGACGUUACCAACAGAAUAAGCACCGGCUAACUUCGUG
Molecule: ribosomal RNA, 484 nt
Filed under: uncultured bacterium
Lineage: Bacteria
Description: partial 16S ribosomal RNA
Rfam family: Bacterial small subunit ribosomal RNA
Source: RNAcentral